RNAcentral lists this ribosomal RNA (494 nucleotides) under uncultured bacterium. RNAcentral describes it as "partial 16S ribosomal RNA". It matches the Rfam family "Bacterial small subunit ribosomal RNA", at positions 28 to 507 of the family's 1533-position model. The record is from RNAcentral.
GACGAACGCUGGCGGCGUGCUUAACACAUGCAAGUCGAACGGUGAAGCGCCUUCCUUUUUGGUGGGUGUGGAUGAGUGGCGAACGGGUGAGUAACACGUGAGUAACCUGCCCCCUUCUUCUGGAUAACCGCAUGAAAGUGUGGCUAAUACGGGAUAUUCUGGGUCUGUCGCAUGAUGGGUCUGGGAAAGAUAUUGUUUCGGUGGGGGAUGGGCUCGCGGCCUAUCAGCUUGUUGGUGGGGUGAUGGCCUACCAAGGCGGUGACGGGUAGCCGGCCUGAGAGGGUGGACGGACUGACUGGGAGAGAGACACGGCACAGACUCGUACGGGAGGCAGCAGGGGGGAAUAUGGAACAAUGGGCGCAAGCCUGAUGCAGCGACGCCGCGUGAGGGAUGGAGGCCUUCGGGUUGUGAACCUCUUUCGCCAGUGAAGCAUGCCUGCCUCGUUUGUGGGUGGGUUGACGGUAGCUGGAUAAGAAGCGCCGGCUAACUACGUG